Sutterella parvirubra YIT 11816 is the source of this 312-nucleotide non-coding RNA. It matches the Rfam family "Bacterial RNase P class A". From Rfam's summary of the family: Ribonuclease P (RNase P) is a ubiquitous endoribonuclease, found in archaea, bacteria and eukarya as well as chloroplasts and mitochondria. Its best characterised activity is the generation of mature 5'-ends of tRNAs by cleaving the 5'-leader elements of precursor-tRNAs. Cellular RNase Ps are ribonucleoproteins. The record is from Rfam. Lineage: Bacteria; Pseudomonadati; Pseudomonadota; Betaproteobacteria; Burkholderiales; Sutterellaceae.
GGAGUUCUCCGGACGAUCGUCGGCGGCUUCGCGCCGCGGGAGGAAAGUCCGGACUCCGCAGGGCACCGUAGCAGGCAACACCUGUCCACCGUGAGGUGCGGAUCAGAGCAACAGAGACGAGCCGACUUCGGGUCGGGUGAAACGGGCAAUCUCUACGGGGAGCAACAUCAAAUAGGCCGUCACAUGGGACCUGCCCGGUCCUGACGGCGGGUAGAUGGCUUGAGGCGCGGCGCGAGCCGCGUCCUGGAAGAAUGAUCGUCACCGCGGGCUUGUCCCGCGGAACAGAAUCCGGCUUACAGGGGAGGUCCCGCC